Molecule: ribosomal RNA, 548 nt
Filed under: Escherichia sp. E2661
Lineage: Bacteria; Pseudomonadati; Pseudomonadota; Gammaproteobacteria; Enterobacterales; Enterobacteriaceae
Description: partial 23S ribosomal RNA
Rfam family: Bacterial large subunit ribosomal RNA
Source: RNAcentral
CGCCGGAAGACCAAGGGUUCCUGUCCAACGUUAAUCGGGGCAGGGUGAGUCGACCCCUAAGGCGAGGCCGAAAGGCGUAGUCGAUGGGAAACAGGUUAAUAUUCCUGUACUUGGUGUUACUGCGAAGGGGGGACGGAGAAGGCUAUGUUGGCCGGGCGACGGUUGUCCCGGUUUAAGCGUGUAGGCUGGUUUUCCAGGCAAAUCCGGAAAAUCAAGGCUGAGGCGUGAUGACGAGGCACUACGGUGCUGAAGCAACAAAUGCCCUGCUUCCAGGAAAAGCCUCUAAGCAUCAGGUAACAUCAAAUCGUACCCCAAACCGACACAGGUGGUCAGGUAGAGAAUACCAAGGCGCUUGAGAGAACUCGGGUGAAGGAACUAGGCAAAAUGGUGCCGUAACUUCGGGAGAAGGCACGCUGAUAAGUAGGUGAAGUCCCUCGCGGAUGGAGCUGAAAUCAGUCGAAGAUACCAGCUGGCUGCAACUGUUUAUUAAAAACACAGCACUGUGCAAACACGAAAGUGGACGUAUACGGUGUGACGCCUGCCCGGUG